UCCAACCUUCAGGGCAAAGUGAGACAGUAAUGUCAAUUCUUGACCGGCGGUGAUGUAUCUGUAUGCAGCAUGAUAAUAAGUCCGCGAGCCAAAAAGGCCGAUUAAGUGAGAAUCUUAAACCGACAGUAUAGUCUGGAUGAAAGAAGAAGGAG
This 152-nucleotide non-coding RNA is filed under the name Eubacterium sp. Its description in RNAcentral is "FMN sequence". It matches the Rfam family "FMN riboswitch aptamer (RFN element)". From Rfam's summary of the family: The RFN element is a highly conserved domain that is found frequently in the 5'-untranslated regions of prokaryotic mRNAs that encode for flavin mononucleotide (FMN) biosynthesis and transport proteins. This element is a metabolite-dependent riboswitch that directly binds FMN in the absence of proteins. In Bacillus subtilis, the riboswitch most likely controls gene expression by causing premature transcription termination within the 5' untranslated region of the ribDEAHT operon and precluding access to the ribosome-binding site of ypaA mRNA. Lineage: Bacteria; Bacillati; Bacillota; Clostridia; Eubacteriales; Eubacteriaceae. The record is from RNAcentral. RNAcentral also lists the same sequence under 1 other name.